Molecule: ribosomal RNA, 400 nt
Filed under: uncultured bacterium
Lineage: Bacteria
Description: bacterial SSU rRNA
Rfam family: Bacterial small subunit ribosomal RNA
Source: RNAcentral
UGGGGAAUAUUGCGCAAUGGGGGAAACCCUGACGCAGCAACGCCGCGUGAAGGAUGAAGGUUUUCGGAUUGUAAACUUCAACAAUCAGGGACGAAAAAAAUGACUGUACCUGACUGAAGCCACGGCUAACUACGUGCCAGCAGCCGCGGUAAUACGUAGGUGGCAAGCGUUGUCCGAAUUUACUGGGUGUAAAGGGCGUGUAGGCGGGUGCCUUAGUCAGUGGUGAAAUACCGGGGCUCAACCCCGGGGCUGCCAUUGAAACUGGGCAUCUUGAGUGCAGGAGAGGAAAGCGGAAUUCCUAGUGUAGCGGUGAAAUGCGUAGAUAUUAGGAGGAACACCGGUGGCGAAGGCGGCUUUCUGGACUGUAACUGACGCUGAGGCGCGAAAGCGUGGGGAGCAA